UAGGGAAUAUUGCACAAUGGGCGAAAGCCUGAUGCAGCAACGCCGCGUGCGCGAUGACGGCCUUCGGGUUGUAAAGCGCUUUUCGGGGAGAUGAGGAAGGACAGUAUCCCCGGAAUAAGGCUCGGCUAACUACGUGCCAGCAGCCGCGGUAACACGUAGGAGCCAAGCGUUAUCCGAAUUCACUGGGCGUAAAGCGCGUGUAGGCGGCUUGGUAAGUUGGAUGUGAAAGCGCCUGGCUCAACUGGGAGAGGACGUUCAAUACUGCCG
RNAcentral lists this ribosomal RNA (267 nucleotides) under uncultured bacterium. Its description in RNAcentral is "partial 16S ribosomal RNA". It matches the Rfam family "Bacterial small subunit ribosomal RNA", at positions 355 to 638 of the family's 1533-position model. The record is from RNAcentral.